UGAAUAUGCUCAGGAAAAGUUGUAUAUUUUUCACUUGGCUCUUGUCUCUCUAGAUGAACUAUGCAAGAUACCAAGCCUAAUAGCUGAUAGUGCUUUUCCAUGAAACACUAAAAUCUGGAUUCUGAGAUUGCAGAACUCAGGCAAUACAAAAGGAUGAAAUCUGGCCAUUCUCAACACAAAAUGCCCUUAUUGGAAGAAAAAUUCUUUACCAUCUAUGGUGAGUCUCCAGUCCCUGAUGUCAUACAAGCCACAGUGGCUCAAGGAGGCAGCAGAAGAAACAAUUCCCCAGGAGGACAGAAAACUGAACUUUUACAUCCUGUCAGUUUUCUUCCAGUGUCUCCUAUUCCAGGUGGCUGUGAGUCUAAUUUAGCAGGGGCCAGUGAGAGGGUGAGAUGAAAAGUUCUGUGGCAUCACUUUUUGUUUUUUUUUUCCUUCACUCCUUCUGCUCUUCAGCUGUAUCCUGUCUUCAUCAGAACUAAUUUAGUUAAUUCUCCAUUCUAGAAUGAGCCAGUUGUUGUUGGUGCACAGUUGCAUAGCAACAUCUACCAUUUGCAGGCAGAGAUAACAGGCAGGCAGGGAUGCCAGUGUGUGCCUGGCCCAGGAAGGCUCUUGUAGAGAAAUCUCAGCUGGACGUGUUACAGUGGCCUGCCUAAGUAUGCAGAGUGGCAGACUUAACCAAGCCCAGAACACCUGACAAGACAUGCUGCCCAGCCCGCUCAUCUUCCCCCCUCUCCUGCUUGUGCUGUGAGUUGGAACAUCUGGUCUGGUGACUUAAAUGGAA
Molecule: long non-coding RNA, 781 nt
Organism: Phasianus colchicus (ring-necked pheasant)
Lineage: Eukaryota; Metazoa; Chordata; Aves; Galliformes; Phasianidae
Source: RefSeq, a predicted model, not a curated record